This 312-nucleotide small RNA is filed under the name Histoplasma capsulatum var. duboisii H88. RNAcentral describes it as "Histoplasma capsulatum H88 hypothetical RNA". The record is from RNAcentral. Lineage: Eukaryota; Fungi; Ascomycota; Eurotiomycetes; Onygenales; Ajellomycetaceae.
GCCUUUUUAAACCAUUCAUGGGCUUGCAACUUCUGUGGAAUUGUCAUGGCAUGAAAUCUUGAGCUUUUCGUCCUCGCCAUAGUGGAUGAAGACCGGAACGAAACCACAAAUACUGUACUAGGACCCAUUUGACUUCUCAUUAACUCAAGUUUUGCACGAUUUUCUAGUGCUUUUAUAGCGAUCAUGUUGAUUUCAUUUACCUGUGCCAUGAUGUAUGGAGAAACGUAGUAAUGAGUACACCGGCGAUUGAAGGAAACCGCCUUUCUUUAAUUCUACUAUAGCCAGGACCACAUCUUAAACAAUAAUAGUCAU